RNAcentral lists this long non-coding RNA (420 nucleotides) under Homo sapiens (human). RNAcentral's name for it is "non-protein coding lnc-TAGAP-5:1". Lineage: Eukaryota; Metazoa; Chordata; Mammalia; Primates; Hominidae. The record is from RNAcentral.
AAGGAGGCUCACUUGAUAGUUGGAUCCUUCUAAAAUUCUUUGUCAUAUUGGGCCAAGUUUUGUUUUCCUGAUUCCCACUUGUAUCUACUUCUGACCUCAAGGGUUGGCAAACUGUCCUCUUCCUCGCAGGCUUUUUAAAUAGAUGAGAUUUUCCCUCUUUAGGUAAACAUUCCCACCAAGUUCUUCCUAACUUUAUACGAAAUGGCUUUCAAACUUAGCAUAAACUCCUCUCAGGGGUGGCGAAUCACAGAGGAGCAGUCACUUGUGUCUCUAUGUUGAGCCCUAAUGCCCACCUCUUCCAGUGGGGCCCCAUAGCCAAUACAGGAUUGUUAGGCAGACCAAAUGGCUCUUUUCUCAUGCAUUCUGAGUUAUUUAGACCCAAGAAAACAUUUGCAGGAAAUGAGCAAUCUGCUGGUGGAU